RNAcentral lists this ribosomal RNA (231 nucleotides) under uncultured bacterium. Its description in RNAcentral is "partial 16S ribosomal RNA". It matches the Rfam family "Bacterial small subunit ribosomal RNA", at positions 15 to 228 of the family's 1533-position model. The record is from RNAcentral.
GAUCAUGGCUCAGGACGAACGCUGGCGGCGUGCUUAACACAUGCAAGUCGAACGGAGCACCCUUGAUUGAGGUUUCGGCCAAAUGAUAGGAAUGCUUAGUGGCGGACUGGUGAGUAACGCGUGAGGAACCUGCCUUUCAGAGGGGGACAACAGUUGGAAACGACUGCUAAUACCGCAUGACGCAUUUGGGUGGCAUCACCUGAAUGCCAAAGAUUUAUCGCUGAAAGAUGG